RNAcentral lists this ribosomal RNA (482 nucleotides) under uncultured bacterium. RNAcentral's name for it is "partial 16S ribosomal RNA". It matches the Rfam family "Bacterial small subunit ribosomal RNA", at positions 28 to 523 of the family's 1533-position model. The record is from RNAcentral.
GACGAACGCUGGAGGCGUGCUUAACACAUGCAAGUCGAACGAUGAAAUGGAGCUUGCUCCAUGGAUUAGUGGCGAACGGGUGAGUAACACGUGAAUAACCUGCCCUUAAUUUUGGAAUAACCCAGGGAAACCUGGGCUAGUACCGGAUAAGUAAACCUGUGGCAUCACAUGGUUUUGGAAAGUUUUUCGAUUAAGGAUGGAUUCGCGGCCUAUCAGCUUGUUGGUGAGGUAAUGGCUCACCAAGGCGACGACGGGUAGCCGGCCUGAGAGGGUGAACGGCCACACUGGGACUGAGACACGGCCCAGACUCCUACGGGAGGCAGCAGUGGGGAAUAUUGCGUAAUGGACGAAAGUCUGACGCAGCGACGCCUCGUGAGGGACGAAGGUCUUCGGAUUGUAAACCUCUUUCAGCAGGGACGAAGCGAAAGUGACGGUACCUGCAGAAGAAGCACCGGCUAACUAUGUGCCAGCCGCCGCAGUAA